Molecule: ribosomal RNA, 265 nt
Filed under: uncultured prokaryote
Description: partial 16S ribosomal RNA
Rfam family: Bacterial small subunit ribosomal RNA
Source: RNAcentral
UACGUAGGUGGCAAGCGUUAUCCGGAAUUAUUGGGCGUAAAGAGCGCGCAGGUGGUUGAUUAAGUCUGAUGUGGAAAGCCCACGGGCUUAACCGUGGAGGGUCAUUGGGAAACUGGUCGACUUGAGUGCAGGAAGAGGGAAGUGGAAUUCCAUGUGUAGCGGUGAAAUGCGUAGAGAUAUGGAGGAACACCAGUGGCGAAGGCGGCUUCCUGGUCUGUAACUGACACUGAGGCGCGAAAGCGUGGGGAGCAAACAGGAUUAGAUA